CAGCAGNCCGCGGUAAUACCGGCGGUCCCAAGUGGCGACCACUUUUAUUGGGUCUAAAACAUCCGUAGCCGGUGUAAAAAGUUUCUUGUGAAAUCGUUGCGCUCAACGUAACGACGGGCGAGAAAUACUCUUAUACUAGAGACCGGGAGACGUAAUGAGUAUAGUUAGGGUAACGGUAAAAUGUUCUAAUCCUGACUAGACUAACAAUGGCGAAGGCAUAUUACGAGAACGGUUCUGACGGUGAGGGAUGAAGGCUAGGGGCGCAAAAGGGAUUAGAUACCCCUGUAGUCCUAGCUGUAAACGCUGCACACUAAACAUUGUGAUCUCCUCGGGAGGUUGCAGUGCUGUAGGGAAGCCGUUAAGUGUGCUACCUGGGGAGUACAGCCGCAAGGUCGAAACUUAAAGGAAUUGGCGGGGGAGCACUACAAGGAGUGACGCGUGCGGUUUAAUUAGAUUCCACUCCGUGAACCUCACCAGGAGCGACAGCAGGAUGAAGGUCAGUCUGAAGGGCUUACCUGACACGCUGAGAGAAGGUGCAUGGCCGCCGUCAGCCUGUGUCGUGAGAUGAUCUGUUAAAUCAGGUAACAGGCAAGACCCGCGUGGGUAGUUGCUAUUUGGUAAAAAAGCACACUACACAGACUGCUUCCGUAAGGAAGAGGAAGGUGCGGGCAACGGUAGGUAGUACGCCUCGAAUCCCCUGGGCUACACGCGCGCGGCAAUGGCUGUAGCAAUGAGAUGCAACUCCGAAAGGAGAAGCUAAUCCCCUAAAUACAGUCUCGGUUCAGAUUGAAUCUUGCAACCCAGAUUCAUGACGCUGGAAUUCCUAGUAAUCGGGUGUUAGCAUCGCCCGGUGAAUAUUGUCCCUGCCCCUUGCACAC
RNAcentral lists this ribosomal RNA (878 nucleotides) under uncultured archaeon. RNAcentral describes it as "bacterial SSU rRNA". It matches the Rfam family "Archaeal small subunit ribosomal RNA", at positions 459 to 1344 of the family's 1478-position model. The record is from RNAcentral.